CUGCCGCCCAGCGCCGAUUUGUAUUCCUGCUUGCGGGCGCUUAAUAAAUGUCGCUAAACGGGUUGCAAGCAGGCUCGU
RNAcentral lists this non-coding RNA (78 nucleotides) under Hydrocarboniphaga daqingensis. Lineage: Bacteria; Pseudomonadati; Pseudomonadota; Gammaproteobacteria; Nevskiales; Nevskiaceae. The record is from RNAcentral.